CCGCCGAAAAUACUGGGCAGCUAGGGAGUGGGAGAGGUACACGGUACUCAAUAGGAAGGGGUAAAAUCCUUUGAUCUAUUGAUGACCACCUGUGGCGANGGCGGUGUACCAGAACACGUUCGACGGUGAGGGAUGAAAGCUGGGGGAGCAAACCGGAUUAGAUACCCGGGUAGUCCCAGCUGUAAACGAUGCAGACUCGGUGAUGCAUUGGCUUGUGGCCAAUGCAGUGCCGCAGGGAAGCCGUUAAGUCUGCCGCCUGGGAAGUACGUACGCAAGUAUGAAACUUAAAGGAAUUGGCGGGGGAGCACCACAAGGGGUGAAGCCUGCGGUUCAAUUGGAGUCAACGCCAGAAAUCUUACCUGGGGCGACAGCAGAAUGAAGGUCAGGCUGAAGACUUUACCAGACAAGCUAAGAGGUGGUGCAUGGCCGUCGCCAGCUCGUGCCGUGAGAUGUCCUGUUAAGUCAGGUAACGAGCGAGACCCCUGCGUCUAGUUGCUACCAUUACUCUCUGGAGUAGUGGAGCGAAUUAGACGGACCGCCACAGUUAAUGUGGAGGAAGGAAGGGGCCACGGCAGGUCAGUAUGCCCCGAAACCCUAGGGCUACACGCGGGCUGCAAUGGUAUUGACAAUGUGUUCCGAAUCCGAAAGGAGGAGGCAAUCAUCAAACGAUACCUCAGUUAUGACUGAGGGCUGUAACUCGCCCUCACGAAUAUGGAAUCCCUAGUAACUGCGCGUCACUACCGCGCGGUGAAUACGUCCCUGCUCCUUGCACACACCGCCCGUCGUUUCAUCGAAGUUGGCCUUUAGUGAGGUAGUGUCUUGUUGGCAUUAUCGAGCUUGAGGUCAGUGACGAGGGAAAAGUCGUAACAAGGUA
This 874-nucleotide ribosomal RNA is filed under the name uncultured archaeon. Its description in RNAcentral is "bacterial SSU rRNA". It matches the Rfam family "Archaeal small subunit ribosomal RNA", at positions 572 to 1445 of the family's 1478-position model. The record is from RNAcentral.